Molecule: long non-coding RNA, 202 nt
Filed under: Mytilus galloprovincialis (Mediterranean mussel)
Lineage: Eukaryota; Metazoa; Mollusca; Bivalvia; Mytilida; Mytilidae
Source: RNAcentral
UGGCGGAAAAAGAAUAAUAAUAAUAAUUAAAAACCAAUUCUUCAGAGAACAAUUGAAGGUCUUUCCACCUCGAUAAUUAGAAUGAAAUUGAGAAAAAGAUGUUAGAAAGGGUCACUCCUUGUUGAUGUAAUUUGGUACCUCAACUGAUAUAGAAAAAUAAGAUUAAUAAGUAUAUGCAGAAGACUUAAUUGUUUUAUAAUGA